RNAcentral lists this ribosomal RNA (301 nucleotides) under uncultured bacterium. RNAcentral describes it as "partial 16S ribosomal RNA". It matches the Rfam family "Bacterial small subunit ribosomal RNA", at positions 509 to 807 of the family's 1533-position model. The record is from RNAcentral.
CAGCCGCCGCGGGAAUACGUAGGGUGCGAGCGUUAAUCGGAAUUACUGGGCGUAAAGCGUGCGUAGGCGGUUCGUUAAGACAGAUGUGAAAUCCCCGGGCUUAACCUGGGAACUGCAUUUGUGACUGGCGAGCUAGAGUAUGGCAGAGGGGGGUAGAAUUCCACGUGUAGCAGUGAAAUGCGUAGAGAUGUGGAGGAAUACCGAUGGCGAAGGCAGCCCCCUGGGCCAAUACUGACGCUCAUGCACGAAAGCGUGGGGAGCAAACAGGAUUAGAUACCCCGGUAGUCCCUGUCUCUUAUAC